GAAUUCGAUUAACGCGAAGAACCUUACCCAGGCUUGAACUGCAGGUGACAUCCUACGAAAGUAGGCUUCCGCAAGGACACCUGUAGAGGUGCUGCAUGGCUGUCGUCAGCUCGUGUCGUGAGAUGUUGGGUUAAGUCCCGCAACGAGCGCAACCCUUGUCUUCUGUUGCCAUCAGGUUACGCUGGGCACUCUGAAGAGACUGCCGGUGACAAACCGGAGGAAGGUGGGGAUGACGUCAAGUCAGCAUGGCCUUUAUGUCUGGGGCCACACACGUGCUACAAUGGCCGGUACAAACCGUCGCAAACUCGCAAGGGUGAGCUAAUCGGAGAAAGCCGGUCUCAGUUCGGAUUGUAGGCUGCAACUCGCCUGCAUGAAGUUGGAAUCGCUAGUAAUCGCGGAUCAGCACGCCGCGGUGAAUACGUUCCCGGGCCUUGUCACACCGAAUCACUA
Molecule: ribosomal RNA, 450 nt
Filed under: uncultured soil bacterium
Lineage: Bacteria
Description: bacterial SSU rRNA
Rfam family: Bacterial small subunit ribosomal RNA
Source: RNAcentral